AUGAACGCUGGCGGCGUGCCUAAUACAUGCAAGUCGAGCGAACGGACGAGAAGCUUGCUUCUCUGAUGUUAGCGGCGGACGGGUGAGUACACGUGGAUAACCUACCUAUAAGACUGGGAUAACUUCGGGAAACCGUAGCUAAUACCGGAUAAUAUUUUGAACCGCAUGGUUCCAAAGUGAAAGACGGUCUUGCUGUCACUUAUAGAUGGAUCCGCGCUGCAUUAGCUAGUUGGUAAGGUAACGGCUUACCAAGGCAACGAUGCAUAGCCGACCUGAGAGGGUGAUCGGCCACACUGGAACUGAGACACGGUCCAGACUCCUACGGGAGGCAGCAGUAGGGAAUCUUCCGCAAUGGGCGAAAGCCUGACGGAGCAACGCCGCGUGAGUGAUGAAGGUCUUCGGAUCGUAAAACUCUGUUAUUAGGGAAGAACAUAUGUGUAAGUAACUGUGCACAUCUUGACGGUACCUAAUCAGAAAGCCACGGCUAACUACGUG
Molecule: ribosomal RNA, 495 nt
Filed under: uncultured bacterium
Lineage: Bacteria
Description: partial 16S ribosomal RNA
Rfam family: Bacterial small subunit ribosomal RNA
Source: RNAcentral